RNAcentral lists this ribosomal RNA (253 nucleotides) under uncultured bacterium. RNAcentral's name for it is "partial 16S ribosomal RNA". It matches the Rfam family "Bacterial small subunit ribosomal RNA", at positions 524 to 776 of the family's 1533-position model. The record is from RNAcentral.
UACGGAGGGUGCGAGCGUUAAUCGGAAUCACUGGGCGUAAAGCGCACGUAGGCGGCUUGGUAAGUCACAUGUGAAAGCCCUCGGCUCAACCGGGGAACUGCGUGUGAUACUGCCUUGCUUGAGUCCUGGAGAGGGCAAUGGAAUUCCAUGUGUAGCGGUAAAAUGCGUAGAUAUAUGGAGGAACACCAGUGGCGAAGGCGGCCACCUGGACAGGUACUGACGCUGAGGUGCGAAAGUGUGGGGAGCAAACAGG